Molecule: ribosomal RNA, 466 nt
Filed under: uncultured bacterium
Lineage: Bacteria
Description: partial 16S ribosomal RNA
Rfam family: Bacterial small subunit ribosomal RNA
Source: RNAcentral
GAUGAACGCUGGCGGCGUGCUUAACACAUGCAAGUCGAACGGAAAGGCCCAAGCUUGCUUGGGUACUCGAGUGGCGAACGGGUGAGUAACACGUGGGUGAUCUGCCCCGCACUUCGGGAUAAGCCUGGGAAACUGGGUCUAAUACCGGAUAGGACCACUUCUUGGAGGUUGUGGUGGAAAGUUUUUUCGGUGAGGGAUGAGCUCGCGGCCUAUCAGCUUGUUGGUGGGGUAAUGGCCUACCAAGGCGUCGACGGGUAGCCGGCCUGAGAGGGUGUACGGCCACAUUGGGACUGAGAUACGGCCCAGACUCCUACGGGAGGCAGCAGUGGGGAAUAUUGCACAAUGGGCGCAAGCCUGAUGCAGCGACGCCGCGUGGGGGAUGACGGCCUUCGGGUUGUAAACUCCUUUCGCUAGGGACGAAGCGCAAGUGACGGUACCUAGAGAAGAAGCACCGGCUAACUACGUG